GAGGUGGAAUUUGAGCCCCUGCUCCUUUCAUAUGUCUGCACGCCUGACGGCAUUAUGCAAAUGACUUUCAGGAGCAGCCUUCAUUAAGUGUCCUGUGGAGGAAGCCCAAUUCAACACCCUUGAUGCACCCAGGUUCUGAAGAGGGUUUGCGAGGCUCCCUAAAUCGUAUCUGGUCAUGGCACUGAAGCUCCUGAUAAGUCUCCUGAUGAUCUUCCCUUCAUGUGUUUCUUCUCAGAUCACCCUCACGGAGUCGGGAGGUGGAGUGAAGAGGCCGGGAGACACCGUGCAGCUGACCUGUGUGGUGUCUGGGUUUUCUCUCACAAGCUGGAGCAUGCACUGGGUCCGCCAGCCCCCAGGAAAGGGACUGGAGUGGGCAGGAGCUGUUUGGAACAAUGGUGCUCUGUACUAUAACAGUGCUCUGAAGAACCGGCUCACCAUCUCGAGGGACACCUCCAAGGGCCAGGUGUUCCUGCAAGUCCGUGACCUGAAGCCUGAGGACUCCGCCAUGUAUUACUGUGCAAGAGACACAGUGAGGAAAUGCUGCUCUGAAGACCACUGCGACCUGUCCAUGGUCCGCAUGUGCAACACCAAAGGCUGA
This is a non-coding RNA of Varanus komodoensis (Komodo dragon), 598 nucleotides long. The record is from the annotation of a RefSeq genome assembly. Lineage: Eukaryota; Metazoa; Chordata; Lepidosauria; Squamata; Varanidae.